RNAcentral lists this transfer RNA (68 nucleotides) under Pantodon buchholzi (freshwater butterflyfish). RNAcentral's name for it is "tRNA-His". It matches the Rfam family "tRNA". Rfam says of the family: Transfer RNA (tRNA) molecules are approximately 80 nucleotides in length. Their secondary structure includes four short double-helical elements and three loops (D, anti-codon, and T loops). Lineage: Eukaryota; Metazoa; Chordata; Actinopteri; Osteoglossiformes; Pantodontidae. The record is from RNAcentral.
AUAAAUAUAGUUUAGUAAAAUACUAGAUUGUGAUUCUAGAGACAGAAGUUAAAAUCUCCUUAUUUAUC